Long non-coding RNA from Bombyx mori (domestic silkworm), 855 nucleotides. RefSeq lists it as uncharacterized. The record is from RefSeq and is a predicted model, not a curated record. Lineage: Eukaryota; Metazoa; Arthropoda; Insecta; Lepidoptera; Bombycidae. The transcript is spliced from 3 exons.
GUAUUAUUGUGCAAGGUAGUGCGAUUUUAAUCUGAACUUGAAAAUUUCCGGCGAGGACGAUUGUUUGAUGCUUAAGGAUAGUGCACUCCAUAAACGGACUGCUUCAACCGCAAAGGAAUGAUCAUAAAAUGACGUCCCGUGAGCCGGAAACUUCAGGAUUAAAUAGUGUGUCAUAAUAGUAUUAAAGGCAAACAUUAACAGACAUUGGUAGAUAGUGAUAAGCCGUCCUACAGUGACAGACGCACUGAGGAAGACGGCCGGCACGGCUCAUAAAUCACUCGAUAAUGAGAAUUAUUGGAAAACCCCGGGUCGAACCGUGCAACGCGAACUUCAGCGUACAUAAAAACUUUUUUCUCCUACCUAUGCCGAAAGUUCGAUUUUCCUCCCGCUGUACAGGGAAGAAAGUCUAUCUUUUCCUUCCGCUGUACAGAGAAGAAGGUCUAACUUUUCCUCCCUGGGUACAAGUGCGCAUGCGCGUUAGUGUCUACGUCUACUCUCACGCAUCUAAAAUUCUCCGCCAUUGUUGUGCUCGGGUAAUUUGCAAUAUUGUGUUUAGUGUAAAAGUGAAAUAAACAAAAGUUAAGCAAUUCUAUCGGACUGCAAGAGACGACCGUGCCGCAUCAGUGCAAUUGACAGAUCAUCCUUACAUUUUCGAGAUGAGCCGCGGCGUCCGUGUCGUGGUGUCUACGAGCUUCGGUGACCUCUGAACACGAAUUCUUCUGCAUCUUUCAUGGUGUCGGGCAGCUUGGUGCCCAGGGUCUCUGGCGUCGUGAAGAUCAACAUACCGGAUAUUAAAGCGAAACUGCCAAAUAGUACUGAUGGAAAACUUUCCCAUACUUCUAGAGCCUGAAAUAG